UGUGGAAUAUUGCACAAUGGGGGAAACCCUGAUGCAGCAACGCCGCGUGCGGGAUGACGGCCUUCGUGUUGUAAACCGCUUUCAGCCAUGACGAAGCUUUUGUGACGGUAGUGGUAUAAGAAGCACCGGCUAAAUACGUGCCAGCAGCCGCGGUGAUACGUAGGGUGCGAGCGUUGUCCGGAAUUAUUGGGCGUAAAGAUCUUGUAGGCGGUUUGUCGCGUCGCAAGUGUAAACGAAUUGCUUAACGCUGAGCCUGCUUUCGAUACGGGCUGACUAAAGGAAGGUAGGGGAGAAUGGAAUUCCCGGUGGAGCGGUGGAAUGCGCAGAUAUCGGGAGGAACACCAGUGGCGAAGGCGGUUCUCUGGACCUUUCCUGACGCUGCGAAGCGAAAGCGUGGGUAGCAAACAGG
RNAcentral lists this ribosomal RNA (409 nucleotides) under bacterium. RNAcentral's name for it is "partial 16S ribosomal RNA". It matches the Rfam family "Bacterial small subunit ribosomal RNA", at positions 355 to 776 of the family's 1533-position model. The record is from RNAcentral.